RNAcentral lists this transfer RNA (81 nucleotides) under Paragonimus westermani. RNAcentral's name for it is "tRNA-Leu". It matches the Rfam family "tRNA". Rfam says of the family: Transfer RNA (tRNA) molecules are approximately 80 nucleotides in length. Their secondary structure includes four short double-helical elements and three loops (D, anti-codon, and T loops). Lineage: Eukaryota; Metazoa; Platyhelminthes; Trematoda; Plagiorchiida; Troglotrematidae. The record is from RNAcentral.
GGCUUCGUAGCUCAGGUGGUAGAGCGUUUACCGCGUUGAGGCAUGCUGUGUCAGUCGCUGGUUCGAAUCCAGCCGAAGCCC